This 1414-nucleotide ribosomal RNA is filed under the name Salmonella enterica subsp. enterica serovar Livingstone. RNAcentral's name for it is "partial 23S ribosomal RNA". It matches the Rfam family "Bacterial large subunit ribosomal RNA", at positions 1513 to 2900 of the family's 2925-position model. The record is from RNAcentral. Lineage: Bacteria; Pseudomonadati; Pseudomonadota; Gammaproteobacteria; Enterobacterales; Enterobacteriaceae.
UAAGCGUGUAGGUGUGUGUUCCAGGUAAAUCCGGUUCACUUUAACACUGAGGCGUGAUGACGAGGCACUACGGUGCUGAAGCAACAAAUGCCCUGCUUCCAGGAAAAGCCUCUAAGCAUCAGGUAACAUCAAAUCGUACCCCAAACCGACACAGGUGGUCAGGUAGAGAAUACCAAGGCGCUUGAGAGAACUCGGGUGAAGGAACUAGGCAAAAUGGUGCCGUAACUUCGGGAGAAGGCACGCUGACACGUAGGUGAAGUGAUUUACUCAUGGAGCUGAAGUCAGUCGAAGAUACCAGCUGGCUGCAACUGUUUAUUAAAAACACAGCACUGUGCAAACACGAAAGUGGACGUAUACGGUGUGACGCCUGCCCGGUGCCGGAAGGUUAAUUGAUGGGGUCAGCGCAAGCGAAGCUCCUGAUCGAAGCCCCGGUAAACGGCGGCCGUAACUAUAACGGUCCUAAGGUAGCGAAAUUCCUUGUCGGGUAAGUUCCGACCUGCACGAAUGGCGUAAUGAUGGCCAGGCUGUCUCCACCCGAGACUCAGUGAAAUUGAACUCGCUGUGAAGAUGCAGUGUACCCGCGGCAAGACGGAAAGACCCCGUGAACCUUUACUAUAGCUUGACACUGAACAUUGAGCCUUGAUGUGUAGGAUAGGUGGGAGGCUUUGAAGUGUGGACGCCAGUCUGCAUGGAGCCGACCUUGAAAUACCACCCUUUAAUGUUUGAUGUUCUAACGUGGACCCGUGAUCCGGGUUGCGGACAGUGUCUGGUGGGUAGUUUGACUGGGGCGGUCUCCUCCUAAAGAGUAACGGAGGAGCACGAAGGUUGGCUAAUCCUGGUCGGACAUCAGGAGGUUAGUGCAAUGGCAUAAGCCAGCUUGACUGCGAGCGUGACGGCGCGAGCAGGUGCGAAAGCAGGUCAUAGUGAUCCGGUGGUUCUGAAUGGAAGGGCCAUCGCUCAACGGAUAAAAGGUACUCCGGGGAUAACAGGCUGAUACCGCCCAAGAGUUCAUAUCGACGGCGGUGUUUGGCACCUCGAUGUCGGCUCAUCACAUCCUGGGGCUGAAGUAGGUCCCAAGGGUAUGGCUGUUCGCCAUUUAAAGUGGUACGCGAGCUGGGUUUAGAACGUCGUGAGACAGUUCGGUCCCUAUCUGCCGUGGGCGCUGGAGAACUGAGGGGGGCUGCUCCUAGUACGAGAGGACCGGAGUGGACGCAUCACUGGUGUUCGGGUUGUCAUGCCAAUGGCACUGCCCGGUAGCUAAAUGCGGAAGAGAUAAGUGCUGAAAGCAUCUAAGCACGAAACUUGCCCCGAGAUGAGUUCUCCCUGAGACUUAGAGUCUCCUGAAGGAACGUUGAAGACGACGACGUUGAUAGGCCGGGUGUGUAAGCGCAGCGAUGCGUUGAGCUAACCGGUA